RNAcentral lists this long non-coding RNA (401 nucleotides) under Hordeum vulgare. RNAcentral's name for it is "long non-coding RNA (HVUL_LNC018587)". Lineage: Eukaryota; Viridiplantae; Streptophyta; Magnoliopsida; Poales; Poaceae. The record is from RNAcentral.
UGGUGGCAUUGUAUUUCAGUUUUGAGCAAUUGUGCAAAAGCACCAUUUUUAUGAGAUGGCACUUUGUCAUUUGAGUAUUUUUUUUUCUGUGCAUAUUGUGAGGUUGUGCAUACAUGCGUCAUAUUGUUGCGUCAUUAUCACAUGCUGGUGUUUAUUGGGUGAUUGUUUCUUUUGGGUAGCUACGGGGUCUGGAAACGAGUUCGAGGUGUCCGGUGAGUUCGUGCAGGAAGAUCAGGAACAGUUCCACUCUGAAGAUUUCACAAGCAAGAUGAUCGUGACCUUGACACCGUUUCUAGCUUUGUUAUGCUUAGUUCAGUCGUUUCCAUCAUUAUACUCUGCUGCCUACUUCCUGAUAUAUAGGCCAUCAAACAUUGCCAUGAAACCUUUAACACUUCCCCUCC